The sequence is a ribosomal RNA, 1987 nucleotides long. It matches the Rfam family "Archaeal large subunit ribosomal RNA", at positions 1056 to 2987 of the family's 2987-position model. The record is from Rfam.
GACUGCUGGAGUAAGGGUGUAGGGGGUAAGCUCCUGCUCCGAAAGAGGAAUAACUCAGACUGAGGUUAAGGCCCCUAAAUGCCGGCUAAGUUGUGAACAGAAAGGGAGUCUUUGUCCUCAGACAGCGGGGAGGUAGGCUUAGAAGCAGCCACCCUUUAAACAUAGCGUAACAGCUGACCCGUUGAGGGCGAAGGCCCCUAAAAUGGAAGGGGCUAAGCCGGCUGCCGAUACCCCAGAGCAGGUGAAGUAACAGUAGCCUGAUCUAGUAGGGAGGCGUUCGGCGAGGAUAGAAGUACGGUUGUAAGAUCGUGUGGACCUCGUUGGAACGAGAAUCCUGGCAGUAGUAGCAGCAAAGUAGGGUGCGAAUCCCUACCGCCGAAGGGGCCUGGGUUCCUCGGCAAUGCUCGUCAGCUGAGGGUUAGCCGGUCCUAAGCUCACCCUCAAUAAGAAGUGAGCGAAAGGGAAACGGGUUAAUAUUCCCGUGCCACCUGAGUACCUGCGGCAACGCUAGGCCUAACUCUCAACGCUUUAAGGUAUGUUGAGUAGGGUCAUCACCCUAUCUAACCGUUAAAGCCUGGGGAGAGCCGUAAUGGCGAGAACCAGGUGAAGGCGGGAAUAGCUCGCUAAAUGGCGAGUUCGACAGAGCCUUAGAGCCCAUGAAAAGAGAAUUAGGAAUUGGGAUCUCAGGUGACCGUACCUAGAACUGACACAGGUGCCCCUAGGUAAGCAGCCUGAGGCGUGUCGGAACACUCCAGGCUAGGGAAAUCGGCAAACUAGCCCCGUGACCUCGGACGAAGGGGUGCCUACCUCUCGCAGAGGUAGGUCGCAGUGACCAGGAGAGGCCGACUGUUUAAUAAAAACGUAGCCAAUCGCUAGUCCGUAAGGAUGAGUACGGUUGGUGAAUCCUGCCCAGUGGCGGCUUGUCAAGCUGGGUUACAACCUAGUGAAGCGCCGCUAGACGGCGGGGGUAACUAUAACCCUCUUAAGGUAGCGAAGUGCCUUGCCGCUCAAUUGGCGGCCUGCAUGAAUGGAUCAACGAGCCUCUCGCUGUCCCAGCCUGGAUUCCGGUGAACCUACUAACUGGUGCAGAUGCCAGAGACUCCUGGAGGGAAGCGAAGACCCCGUGGAGCUUUACUGCAGUCUGCUGUUGGAGUUGGGUUUCUAGUGUAGAGCGUAGGCGGGAGCCAUCGAAGCCAGGUCGCAAGGCCUGGUAGAGGCGCCAAUGUAACACCGCCCAUUAGCGACCGUGCUCCUAACUGUUUCGGCAGGACCCCAGCAGAUGGGCAGUUUCGCUGGGGCGGCAGCCUCUCGAAAAGUUAUCGAGAGGGCCCAAAGGUCAGCUUAGACGGGUCAGAAAUCCGUCGUAAAGGGCAAGGCCAAAAGCUGGCCUAACUGUGUUAUCACUCUCGGAUAACGCAGGGGCGAAAGCCGGGCCUAGCGAACCCCGAGGUCCCUCUUGAUGGGGGUUCGGGAUGACGGAAAAGCUACCCCGGGGAUAACAGAGUUGUCACGGGCAAGAGUCCGUAUCGACCCCGUGGCUUGCUACCUCGAUGUCGGUUCUUCGCAUCCUGGCCGUGCAGCAGCGGCCAAGGGUAGGGUUGUUCGCCCGUUAAAGCGGAUCGUGAGCUGGGUUUAGACCGUCGUGAGACAGGUCAGACGCUAUCUUCCAGGAGUGACGGAUGCUUGAGGGGAAGGUAGCCUCAGUACGAGAGGAACGGGCUGUCGGCGCCACUAGUGUACCAGUUAUCCGAUAGGGUACAGCUGGGUAGCCACGCGCCAGUCGAUAAGGCCUGAAAGCAUCUAAGGCCGAAGCGACUCCCAAAAAUAAGCAUCCAAUCCUGAUCAUCAUCUUGGGACUGGCGACAGUCACAAUCAAUCAGGACGAGGACAGGGACUAGAAGAUCCCGUUGAUGGACUGGGGGUGUAAGCGCGAAGCCUCGGCGACGCGUUCAGCCCACCAGCACCAAUAGUCCAAGGUGCCAGACUU